AGAAUAUUCAAAAGAAAGAAGACAUGUAGGGAGGCAGUUUCUUGUUCCUGGGGCUGGUUGGCUUAUGUCCCAGCUGCUUACAGGCUCACUGGGCAUAGAAGUCGACUGUCACCCUCUAGGAACUGCCUGGGUUUGCCCAAGUUCCUUCCACUCCCAGAGAAAUUGGCAUCUAAUGACUGGAGGGUUCUCCCUUCUUACAACAUUAAUUGGUAAGAUUUAGAAUUUAUUCAAUUUCUCAGAAGAAUAAAGGAAUUUGAUUUAUUCUCUCUCACUCCUAGAUGACAGCAGGGACUAUAGCAGGUUAAUCUCAAAUCUGUGAGUGCUCUGCUGGGUCCUGCAGUUCCUGAGGCUUCAUGAAAAAGCCACAGCCUACUUAGCAUCCCUACAGCUGCAUCUGAAACACUGCACAGUGGCCACUAGAGGGCACUGGGGGUCCACUGACUGAGCUGCAGCCAGUGCUUCUGGGAGAGGGAUGGCUCAGGGGUCUUGGCUGGGGGACUGCAUUAGGGAUAACACCUGAUGAGCCAGGACAGGUGAAUUGUGUUCUCCACACAUCCCAUGAAGUGCACGUGAAUGACUCAGAGUACGGAACCAUGAACUGCAUCUUGGUAAAUCAAGAUUCUCUGGGAGCUCCUUUGACAGGGGAUAUGAUUGGACUCCACGGGGGCAGCACACACCACAAUUCAGGUGGAGAGAGAGAAGCCCCUGACUCCCAGGAAAGCUGGAGAGUGUGGGCAUGGACUUCCACCCCACACCCUGGCCUGCCCUGAUCAGCACAGCCAGCUGCCCCUGUCCCACAGAAGCUCCAAAGAAUGGGGAAGGACUACAUCAACUGAGCAUGUCCAGGGGCUACAGGAGACCUGCUGAACCCACAGGCACACUGGCAUCAGAAGAGCGACAUCACUGAUGUCACAGCAAAUCCUCCAAACAGAGAAAAGGGAGGAGCCAAGUGCCUGCUCUCAGCCCAGGAGACCAGCACCCUGAGUGCAAAGAUGCUUAGACCUGUCCUUCCUGACCCUGCCUGGGGACCCAGGCUCCUCUGCUGCAUCACCCUUUGUCUCCUGGGAGCAGGGUUAGAAAACACAGAAUUCCCCUUGGCCCGAAAAUGGGCACCAAGCUCUUCCUCUGUGUGGCCUGCUGUCUCCUGUGGGCAGGACACAUGGAGGCUGGAAUCACCCAGAACCCAAGGCAUAUCAUCACAGAGACAGGAGAAAAGGUGACUUUGCGCUGCCACCAGACCUACAACUAUGACUAUAUGUACUGGUAUCGCCAAGACCCAGGGCAAGGGCUGCAGCUGAUCCAUCACUCAUAUGGUGUGGACAACACUGCCAAAGGAGACGUGUCUGACGGGUACAGUGUCUCCAGAUCAAACAAAACGGACUUCCCCCUCACUCUGGAGUCCACCACCCGCUCCCAGACAUCUGUGUACUUCUGUGCCACCAGUGACUACACAGUGCUCCAGGGCCACCUCCUGGCUGCACAUAAAUAGGAAGACUGUGGCUGCCUGUGCUCAGGAGCCCUGGCCACCCCAGGAAGCAGAGCCCUUGCCAGCCUGGGGACCUCACAGCCUGGGCAACAGGCCCUCAGUGCUGAGGUCCUCCCCUGCCAGUCUCAGCCUGACCUCAGACCUCCCAGCCCCCUUAGCUUGCUGCUGCUCUCUUCAGCAGCCCUCUCUUUCUACCUGCAAAAGGAAAAUGCAUCUUAGUGGAGGUUCCUGUUGAAGGCCUUGCCAGUCUCAAGGCCACCACCUUCUCACCCCAGGGCUUCAGUGUCUUCCUCAUCCUCCUAUAGGCUCUUCUACUUCAGCCCUGAGUCUCCUCCCCCAUGACCUCUGCUCCUGGCUGCCUCCAUCCUGGGGGGAAGCCCUAGGGGUCUGUGUCAUGUGCCUUCCUGUCUCUCCAUCCUCCAUGCACCUGUCCCCUGGCUGUCAGCUCCUGUCACACUCUCCUCUGUGAGUUAUUUCCCCCAUGAGGACUUGUCCUCACAGGGUGUUCCUUUGACCCUAAACAUAUGUCCCUCCUCUCA
Marmota monax (woodchuck) is the source of this 2025-nucleotide non-coding RNA. Lineage: Eukaryota; Metazoa; Chordata; Mammalia; Rodentia; Sciuridae. The record is from the annotation of a RefSeq genome assembly.